This 253-nucleotide ribosomal RNA is filed under the name uncultured bacterium. Its description in RNAcentral is "partial 16S ribosomal RNA". It matches the Rfam family "Bacterial small subunit ribosomal RNA", at positions 524 to 776 of the family's 1533-position model. The record is from RNAcentral.
UACGUAGGGUGCGAGCGUUAAUCGGAAUUACUGGGCGUAAAGUGUGCGCAGGCGGCCGAGCAAGUCGAGUGUGAAAGCCCCGGGCUUAACUUGGGAAUUGCGCUCGAAACUACUUGGCUGGAGUGUGGCAGAGGAAGGUGGAAUUCCAGGUGUAGCGGUGAAAUGCGUAGAGAUGUGGAGGAACACCGAUGGCGAAGGCAGCCUCCUGGGCCAGCACUGACGCUCAUGCACGAAAGCGUGGGGAGCAAACAGG